GCCGGGAUAGCUCAGAUGGUAGAGCAGAG
RNAcentral lists this transfer RNA (29 nucleotides) under Hypecoum procumbens. Its description in RNAcentral is "partial tRNA-Phe". Lineage: Eukaryota; Viridiplantae; Streptophyta; Magnoliopsida; Ranunculales; Papaveraceae. The record is from RNAcentral. RNAcentral also lists the same sequence under 2 other names.